UACAGAGGUCCCGAGCGUUGUUCGGAUUCACUGGGCGUAAAGGGUGCGUAGGUGGCUGGGAAAGUUUGAUGUGAAAGCUCAGGGCUUAACCCUGAAAUGGCAUUGAAUACUGCCUGGCUGGAGGUUUGGAGGGGGGACUGGAAUUCUUGGUGUAGCAGUGAAAUGCGUAGAUAUCAAGAGGAACACCAGUGGCGAAGGCGAGUCCCUGGACAACACCUGACACUGAGGCGCGAAAGCCAGGGGAGCAAACGGG
This 253-nucleotide ribosomal RNA is filed under the name uncultured bacterium. Its description in RNAcentral is "partial 16S ribosomal RNA". It matches the Rfam family "Bacterial small subunit ribosomal RNA", at positions 524 to 776 of the family's 1533-position model. The record is from RNAcentral.